AGAUUCUAAUUUGUUUCUCAAUCAGUUGCUUCCUCGUGUGAAAUGAGGGGACAGACAGCUGAUCUUUCUGAGCUGCCCAUGGCUGGGACCACUGCCUCCAUUCCCAACACCCUGCUGGGGACCCCGCCUUCCAAAGAACAUGCCCCAGGCACACAGGUGAGCUCCCGCCAUGCACUCCCCGUGAAAGGGAAGCCGUCUGGAGGCAGUGUGGCACCUGAAGACGCUGGAGCUGCUGCUGUCAGGGACACACGCCCUGCCCAUUCAUCUGCCUUCUGCGCCGGGAGCCCCCGCAGAUGCGGAAGAUGCAGGGAAUGAUUCAGCCCCAGCCUUAAACAUCAAAUAGCAAAUGAAUAGCAUCAUAAGAAGUCAAGAGAAAGACCAUGGAAGAAAGAAGAAACUUUAACAGCGCUUUUUUCAUGAUCUUUGAACAAGGAGCUCUAAAUUAUCAUUUUGCACUGGCUCUGUCCCAGCUCAUGUUUGUUGAGUGAAUAAAUAAAUAAAUAAAUGCAUACAUACAUAUUUAUUAGUACAUGGAACACACUGAUUAUCUUCCAUUUCCUAACAACACUGUAUGUAAUCAGGAUUGCAGGCAUGUUAUGAAAUACUAGAAUAGCUGAAUAUUAAAAUUAUUCUGGAAUCAUGUAUGCUUAUUGUUGGGGUUAUUUGUGACGUCUCCAAAGUCAUCACAGUUUUCUCAGCAUCAAUGUCCUCAUCUCACCCCAGUCCUAGUUCUAGUCUUAGUGGAAUAGAUUGUAUCAGACUAAUCCUCUGACAGACAACAACGAUCAACUGUGGAUGAAAUUUUAAAACAACUAUUUAAAAAUGCCAGAGAGCAAACAAAAGCAGACAAGUUAGAGGGACUUCAACCCACGAAAUCAAUAAACGUACUGACUGAGACUCAUGCACACACACAUGACAGAGGGACAGAAGCUCUAUGAGAGGAGGACCCUUAUCCAUUUUGUUGAUGGCACAUAGUAUAUGUUCAAUAAAUUUUUGUUGUCAAAUGAAUGUUUUGUUUGGCCAACCUCACUUAUUGUUUUUUCAGUUUUACUGAGGGAUGAUUUAUGUAAAAUAAAAUUCACACUUUUUAAUUGUACCAUUUUAUGAGUUUCACAAAUGUAUACAGUUGUAUAUCUGCCACUAUGAUCAAGAUGUAGAGUAUUUCCAUCGCCAUAGAAAGUUCCUUUAUGCCCCUUUGCUGUUUAUCCCUUCCCCAGCCCCAGCACCUGGCAAUCGCUGACCUGAUUUCUAUAGCUUUGCCUUUUCCAGAAAGUUGAAUAAAUGGAAUCACACUAAA
Long non-coding RNA from Homo sapiens (human), 1297 nucleotides. Lineage: Eukaryota; Metazoa; Chordata; Mammalia; Primates; Hominidae. The record is from Ensembl.